UUAGUUACUGAUUCUAGGGAACAAUUGGGUAGAAAGAGAUGGACUCCCUGUGUUUGAAAUUCAGAACUCAAGCUUGGCUCUAAGUGUUUCCUUGCUUUGCUGUGCUCCAGGGGAGUCCUUGAGCAGAAGGAAGCAAGUUGCCUGAGAUUCUUCAAAGCCCGCAGCCCUUUUGGAGGUUAGAUGGUUAUUCUCAGAGCCUUUAUGAUGCAUAAUAAAGACCUAGCUUGGACCAAUAUUAGGAUGAGUUAUCUUGCUAUUAACAUUCUUUUAGGUAGAAGUUGCUGGUCCCAUCUUGCUCACAAUCCUCCAAAGUUUGAAAGUUAUUUUCCAGGAGACUUGGCUUGCACUGAGAGCUGCCCUCCCACCCUCUCUCCAAAUUUCCUCUUGGGGGUAGCCUAACAAGGUGCUGUCACAGACCCUUGUCGGCCACGAUGACCCCACCCAGACCAUCCCUCUGCUGUUUCACUCUUUGAUAGUCUCUGGAGCUCUCUGGGGAGGGGUGAGACCUGCCGUCUAGUUUGUAUGGUUUGCCCAGGUCUUACAGUCAUGGCUGGCUGCCUCUCUCUGAGAACUAGAACUCCUGAACUUGGUGAAAGACCUCAGCCAUCGAUCAUGUUGAAUUAUCGGGGACACUCAUUUGAAAUCCGAGCCUGUUCCAGAUAGACUCUCUCUCUUUCUGCCCUGACCGUGAGAGAAGCCCUGCUGGACGGUGGAGACACUCGUGGGCUGUGAGCAAGGGAUGCAAAGGCUGCCGGGAAUCCCAUCUUUCCAGCAUCAUCUGCCAAGGCACAUUAGUUCCUGGGUAUCUGGAUGGGUUCUAGCAGCAUUACUGUCAUUGAAGGAAAAAUUUUAGCCAUAUUAAAGGUUAAUGCAGCAAUCUCCACAUAGGCUGCCUGGAAGGGAAGCAGGACAAGGUUAGGUUUUCCUUGUGAUGGACAGGAGGCAGGCGGCCCUCCCACAGCCCUGCCUGGCAAUACAGAUGUGUCCCCAAAAGGCACUGGGGGCCAGCUGGAGUGCUAUGCCGAGGCGGACUGACCCGGGCCGUGGGUUCACUCUGCUGGCAGCGGUUUCCCGCCAGCUCCUUGCAGAGUUGGCAGAUGGCCCAGCCCCACAGCAGGAGCCGGGAAUGGCAGAACGAGACACAACAAUUUGAUAUCCACUUGCCAGAUGAGCCGGGUGUCAUCAGUCGCCUGGCUCUAUGCCCAACCUCUUUUUGCAUAAACACUUAUGGAUUCAGCCAAGAGGAAAAGCACUCUGAUUAUGAAUUGAGCAGAAGGAAACAAAGUUCUGCAGAUAAACACCAAUGAAACAAAAAACCACGAAUAAGAAAAAUGACAGAAAAGGAGAACCUUCCCAGAAUCCUCCUGCCAGUGAACGGUCACCAGAGCAAGAGCAUGGAGUCCCUGGGUUUUGAACUGUGAGAUAAGGAAGAUGAUGAAAACCUCCCUAGCAGCCAGCCAGGUACUAUUCUAGAUUGUCUUGUGAUAUUUACAAUCUAGGAGAAGGCAGGAGAGAGAACUAAGAACAGAGAGCAUGUUCUGAGAUGUCUGCUGUGUUUGCAGACUUAGAUUUUUGGCUGGACUAUUGGCUUGGGAUAGAUGAAAAUCAUUCCUUGUAUCCCCUGAUCUUAAAGUCAAGACUGAACCAGCCUCCAGAUGCAAGCCUUCAUGGGGCUUCAGAUACCAUGAGGAAUGGGCGUCCCUGCAAUAUUGUCAUGGCUGUCAAAAGUGUUAUUGGAGCUGGACGUGAGGCUUCUCCCCAGCACCAGCAUUCCAUGAAGGCAGCCCUUUUCUAGAUGGAGAAAACAGAACCUGAAGGCACCCGUUUCCCUAAACUGCUCUCACUCAUGUGUAAGUACAAAUGAAAAAUGCUGACGCUGGUUCUACAGGGCCUGGAGCUGAUACGAAAAACCUCCCUUCUUUCCCAAAUGGUCCCCAGCUUCCCCGUUCACUGAAGGCCCUGCAGUCGGGAACAGUCAGGACUUUGCACCCAGUUGUUGUGGGUGUUUGGCCAACCCUUCCUCUUGUGUGAUUCAUGGACCUGCAGCAUUGCGUCACCUGUGAGCUUUUGGAAUUGAAGACUCUCAGGGCUCACCCGGGAGGACCUGCUGGGCCAGAAUCUGCAUUUUAACAAGAUGCCUGGGUGAUCUGCAUACACGUUCAGAUCUGAGAAGUGCUGGUAGGAGAGGCUUUAAGGUGGUAAUUAGAUCUUUUCUCCACCUACAAGAAUCUUAGUUUCUUCAUGUUAAAUCUAUUAACUGUGGCAAUGGCAUGGGGGUUAUAAAACAAAACAAAACAAAACCCUUACAUCAAGAAUGCACCCUGGUGUGUUAUGGAUGUGGGUGAAAUGAAAUGUCUGGAAUUUGCUUUAAAAUAUUGUAAAAUAGCAAGAAGGAAAAGAAAAGCGGGAACUGGAAUGAGGAAUGACGGACGCUGGGGCUUUGAUGGGCACCGGGUGAAAUGGGCAGAGUGGCGCUUACCCGGGAUGGCGGUGAAGCGGGACCGGGAGGUCAUCGUGACAAAGGGUGGCAUGAGGUACCUGGCCUUGACGCCCUCCCCGGCUAGACGGUCCAGAUUGGGGGUG
RNAcentral lists this long non-coding RNA (2583 nucleotides) under Homo sapiens (human). Its description in RNAcentral is "HSALNT0059914". Lineage: Eukaryota; Metazoa; Chordata; Mammalia; Primates; Hominidae. The record is from RNAcentral.